ACCGCAUAACCAUUAAAAUCCAUUCAAUAUUAAAAAACCAAACACUCCAAACCAUUUCCAUUUACAAUGCCAUGCAUAAUUAACACCAAACAUUACAAGACAUUACCAUCACAACAAAUAAAAUGACCACAUGACAUAACCUAUCACAUGAGCCUAAAACAGCCAAGCCACGACCUGUCAUAAUACCUAGCACCCUACAGCAACAAUUAUUGCAAACACCGGCCUACAACCAUCUACAGUAAUCCAUCGAGCCAAACAUCAAUCCUGCAGCAGGUUAAGGCAACCUCAUCAUAGCCCUACAACAACAUAUGUGGCAUAAUCAGUCUGCAUCCAAUGAACAAUAACAAAACCUAACCACAACAUUCCACAUCAAGAGCACAAAUGCACAACCAUCAAAUAUACAAAUUCCAUGCACAAACCACUACUGCAACACGAGUCCAAGCUCACAAAUCAAUUCCACAUGGCCUAUGACUCACCUUCAAAGCAACUCAAUUAACCUUUCCAAGCACCUGCGAAUUUGAAUGUACAACUCAGAAAAGUAAAAACACGAUUUCACUUGCUUUUUUCAUGACAGAACAAUAAGACAACCCUACAUCAUUGGCUAACAGAGAAAUAUGAGUUACUUGCAUAUUUUUUCAUAACAGAAUAAAUUUCAACCUGCAUAAUGUUUUAACAGAAAACUCAAACCCACAUGCAUAACAUUUUAACUUCCUUGCAAGUUUUCUAACACUUAAACUCACUAAUAGAAUUCACUUCACUUUUCUCACUAACAUAUUAACUUCACCCUUAUAGAUAACUCUAACCAACUUCCAACUAACGGCUAACAACAUUCCAUUUCACACUCAUUUUAACACUAACUGAUUUCAAAAUCUCUAACUAACUCGAGUGAAUUUCAGAUGAAUUUCAGAUGCAUUUAAGUUGCAUCUCUAACAGACUAUUAGAGUCUAUAAAUUCCAGGCCUCACUCUUCAAUUAUUCAACAAACACAAAACAUGAUUCUCAUUCUCCAAAAUUCUCAGAAAUCCCCUUUUCAUCAUUUUUACAAUUUUCACUCUUCAACACUAUGAUUCACUCUUCAAAUCUCAGAACCUUUAUCUUUACCCUCAGCUAAAGAUCCUUUGACAUACUCCAUUGAAGCUUCAAUAGAGUAGAGCUUAGCCUCAUCACACUUAGAGUUUUCUCCCUCUAUAUUUCCUUGUUCACGAUCUCUCAGGAAGUUUCAAAAUCAGAAUUCAUAGAAGAAAAAGAGGAAGAAGAAUCAGACGAAUGAAAAGAAACAUUUGAAGAUUCAGAAGCUUUCGUACCUGAUCUCCGACAUUACUCUAGUGUGUUACCUCCACUCUUAUUUAUUUAUUCACUCAUAUGAGUUACCGGUAUGUCGAGUAAGGUUAGGGG
Molecule: long non-coding RNA, 1394 nt
Filed under: Lathyrus oleraceus (garden pea)
Lineage: Eukaryota; Viridiplantae; Streptophyta; Magnoliopsida; Fabales; Fabaceae
Description: Pisum sativum (pea) long non-coding RNA (PSAT_LNC030177)
Source: RNAcentral